CAUGUUCCAAAACCACCUCAUUACCCUAAACCACCAAUAGUUCAUCCACCUCAUGUUCCAAAACCACCAGUUGUGAAACCACCAAUAGUUCAUCCACCUUAUGUUCCAAAACCACCGGUGCAUCCACCUUAUGUGCCAAAACCACCAGUGCAUCCACCUUAUGUCCCAAAACCACCAGCUGUGAAGCCACCUUAUGUUCCUAAACCACCAGUUGUCCCAGUAACACCACCAUAUGUUCCUAAACCACCCGUUGUGAAACCACCAAUUGUUUAUCCACCCCAUGUUCCGGUUCCUCUUCCUCCGGUAGUACCAAUAACACCACCUUAUGUACCAACACCACCAAUUGUGAAACCACCAAUUGUUUUUCCACCACAUGUUCCUGUUCCUAUUCCUCCUUUUCCUCCCGUUGUACCAAUAACACCACCAUAUGUUCCAACACCACCGAUUAUCACACCGCCAACACCAACACCACCAGUAGUUACUCCACCAACGGUACCUGUACCAAGCCCAC
This 511-nucleotide long non-coding RNA is filed under the name Trifolium pratense (red clover). Its description in RNAcentral is "long non-coding RNA (TPRA_LNC000915)". The record is from RNAcentral. Lineage: Eukaryota; Viridiplantae; Streptophyta; Magnoliopsida; Fabales; Fabaceae.